UGGGGAAUUUUGGACAAUGGGCGAAAGCCUGAUCCAGCAAUGCCGCGUGUGUGAAGAAGGCCUUCGGGUUGUAAAGCACUUUUGUCCGGAAAGAAAUCCUUGGCUCUAAUACAGUCGGGGGAUGACGGUACCGGAAGAAUAAGCACCGGCUAACUACGUGCCAGCAGCCGCGGUAAUACGUAGGGUGCAAGCGUUAAUCGGAAUUACUGGGCGUAAAGCGUGCGCAGGCGGUUUGCUAAGACCGAUGUGAAAUCCCCGGGCUCAACCUGGGAACUGCAUUGGUGACUGGCAGGCUAGAGUAUGGCAGAGGGGGGUAGAAUUCCACGUGUAGCAGUGAAAUGCGUAGAGAUGUGGAGGAAUACCGAUGGCGAAGGCAGCCCCCUGGGGCCAAAUACUGACGCUCAUGCACGAAAGCGUGGGGAGCAAACAGGAUUAGAUACCCCGGGUAAGUCCCANGCCCCUAAACGAUGUCAACUAGUUGUUGGGGAUUCAUUUCCUUAGUAACGUAGCUAACGCGUGAAGUUGACCGCCU
This 532-nucleotide ribosomal RNA is filed under the name uncultured bacterium. RNAcentral describes it as "partial 16S ribosomal RNA". It matches the Rfam family "Bacterial small subunit ribosomal RNA", at positions 355 to 874 of the family's 1533-position model. The record is from RNAcentral.